GGAUUGCAGCAUGUAGUAGUGGAUCACAGCAUGAAGUAGUGGAAAUCAAUCAGUAGCAGCAGAUAACAGCAGGUAGUAGCAGAUAACAGCAUGUAGUAGCAGAUAACAGCAUGUAGUAGUGGAUCACUUUGGAUACCAGCUGUAAAACAGUUGAAAUGGUUAAUUGUACACAAAAAAGCUGACAUCCUCUACAGUCAAAGUUAGUAUCAUCACAC
Non-coding RNA from Pelobates cultripes (western spadefoot toad), 215 nucleotides. Lineage: Eukaryota; Metazoa; Chordata; Amphibia; Anura; Pelobatidae. The record is from the annotation of a GenBank genome assembly.